RNAcentral lists this ribosomal RNA (429 nucleotides) under Pseudomonadota bacterium. RNAcentral describes it as "Proteobacteria bacterium partial 16S ribosomal RNA". It matches the Rfam family "Bacterial small subunit ribosomal RNA", at positions 355 to 776 of the family's 1533-position model. The record is from RNAcentral. Lineage: Bacteria; Pseudomonadati; Pseudomonadota.
UGGGGAAUAUUGGACAAUGGGCGAAAGCCUGAUCCAGCCAUGCCGCGUGUGUGAAGAAGGUCUUCGGAUUGUAAAGCACUUUAAGUUGGGAGGAAGGGCAGUAAGCGAAUACCUUGCUGUUUUGACGUUACCGACAGAAUAAGCACCGGCUAACUCUGUGCCAGCAGCCGCGGUAAUACAGAGGGUGCGAGCGUUAACCGGAUUUACUGGGCGUAAAGCGUGCGUAGGCGGCUAAUUGAGUCGGAUGUGAAAUCCCCGAGCUUAACUUGGGAAUUGCAUUCGAUACUGGUUAGCUAGAGUGUGGGAGAGGAUGGUAGAAUUCCAGGUGUAGCGGUGAAAUGCGUAGAGAUCUGGAGGAAUACCGAUGGCGAAGGCAGCCAUCUGGCCUAACACUGACGCUGAGGUACGAAAGCAUGGGGAGCAAACAGG